This 517-nucleotide ribosomal RNA is filed under the name uncultured microorganism. RNAcentral describes it as "bacterial SSU rRNA". It matches the Rfam family "Bacterial small subunit ribosomal RNA", at positions 9 to 511 of the family's 1533-position model. The record is from RNAcentral.
GAGUUUGAUCUUGGCUCAGGAUGAACGCUGGCGGCGUGCCUAAUACAUGCAAGUCGAGCGAACAGACGAGGAGCUUGCUCCUCUGACGUUAGCGGCGGACGGGUGAGUAACACGUGGAUAACCUACCUAUAAGACUGGGAUAACUUCGGGAAACCGGAGCUAAUACCGGAUAAUAUAUUGAACCGCAUGGUUCAAUAGUGAAAGACGGUUUUGCUGUCACUUAUAGAUGGAUCCGCGCCGCAUUAGCUAGUUGGUAAAGUAACGGCUUACCAAGGCAACGAUGCGUAGCCGACCUGAGAGGGUGAUCGGCCACACUGGAACUGAGACACGGUCCAGACUCCUACGGGAGGCAGCAGUAGGGAAUCUUCCGCAAUGGGCGAAAGCCUGACGGAGCAACGCCGCGUGAGUGAUGAAGGUCUUCGGAUCGUAAAACUCUGUAUUAGGAAGACAAAUGUGUAAGUAACUAUGCACGUCUUGACGGUACCUAAUCAGAAAGCCACGGCUAACUACGUGCCAG